AGAGUUUGAUUCUGGCUCAGGAUGAACGCUAGCGGGAGGCUUAACACAUGCAAGUCGAGGGGCAGCAUAGGGUAGCAAUACUCUGAUGGCGACCGGCAAACGGGUGAGUAACGCGUAUGCAACCUACCCUGUACAGGGGGAUAACCCGGAGAAAUUCGGACUAAUAUCCCGUAAUAAUAUCCGGAGGCAUCUUUGGAUAUUUAAAGUUCCGACGGUACGGGAUGGGCAUGCGUAACAUUGGCUGGUUGGUAAGGUAACGGCUUACCAAGGCUAUGACGUUUAGGGGUCCUGAGAGGGUGGUCCCCCACACUGGUACUGAGACACGGACCAGACUCCUACGGGAGGCAGCAGUGAGGAAUAUUGGUCAAUGGGCGCAAGCCUGAACCAGCCAUCCCGCGUGCAGGAAGACGGCCCUAUGGGUUGUAAACUGCUUUUCCAGGGAGAGAAACUUACGCACGUGUUGCGUGACUGACGGUACCCUGGGAAUAAGCAUCGGCUAACUCCGUGCCAGCAGCCGCGGUAAUACGGAGGAUGCAAGCGUUAUCCGGAUUCAUUGGGUUUAAAGGGUGCGUAGGCGGGCUAUUAAGUCAGUGGUGAAAUCCUGCAGCUUAACUGCAGAACUGCCGUUGAUACUGAUAGUCUUGAGUUUGGUUAAGGUAGGCGGAAUGUGUAAUGUAGCGGUGAAAUGCUUAGAUAUUACACAGAACACCAAUUGCGUAGGCAGCUUACUGAGCCGACACUGACGCUGAGGCACGAAAGCGUGGGGAUCAAACAGGAUUAGAUACCCUGGUAGUCCACGCCGUAAACGAUGAUUACUCGCUGUUGGCGAUACACUGUCAGCGGCUAAGCAAAAGCAAUAAGUAAUCCACCUGGGGAGUACGGCCGCAAGGUUGAAACUCAAAGGAAUUGACGGGGGCCCGCACAAGCGGA
RNAcentral lists this ribosomal RNA (930 nucleotides) under uncultured bacterium. RNAcentral describes it as "bacterial SSU rRNA". It matches the Rfam family "Bacterial small subunit ribosomal RNA", at positions 8 to 933 of the family's 1533-position model. The record is from RNAcentral.